GAUGAACGCGAGUCGGCGUGCCUUACACAUGCAAGUCGUAUGGAUUUUCGGAUCCAUGGCGUACGGGUGAGUAACACGUGGGUACCUGCCCCCAGGUGGGGUAUAAUGGAGGGAAACUUCCGGUAAUCCCCCAUAGGCGCAAGAAGUGCUUUGGAAAACUCUAGAGUCUAGAGUGUCUGGGGAUGGACCUGCGGCUGAUUAGCUAGUUGGUAAGGGGAAAGGCCUACCAAGGCGACGAUCAGUAGCUGGCCUGAGAGGGCGGCCGGCCACAUUGGGACUGAGACACGGCCCAGACUUCUACGGGAGGCAGCAGUGGGGAAUCUUCUGCAAUGGGCGCAAGCCUGACAGUGCAACGCCGCGUGAAGGAAGAAGGCCACAUAUGGUCGUAAACUUCUUUGCACGGGCACAGGAAUACUGACCGCCCGAGGAAGCAAGCAUCGGCUAACUCCGUGCCAGCCGCCGCCGUAACAC
Molecule: ribosomal RNA, 471 nt
Filed under: uncultured bacterium
Lineage: Bacteria
Description: bacterial SSU rRNA
Rfam family: Bacterial small subunit ribosomal RNA
Source: RNAcentral